This 638-nucleotide ribosomal RNA is filed under the name Granitohyoidea calycopeplus. RNAcentral's name for it is "bacterial SSU rRNA". It matches the Rfam family "Eukaryotic small subunit ribosomal RNA", at positions 395 to 936 of the family's 1831-position model. Lineage: Eukaryota; Metazoa; Arthropoda; Insecta; Hemiptera; Miridae. The record is from RNAcentral.
CCUGAGAAACGGCUACCACAUCCAAGGAAGGCAGCAGGCACGCAAAUUACCCACUCCCGGCACGGGGAGGUAGUGACAAAAAAUAACGAUACGGGACUCAUAUGAGGCCCCGUAAUCGGAAUGAGUACACUUUAAAUCCUUUAACAAGGAUCCAUUGGAGGGCAAGUCUGGUGCCAGCAGCCGCGGUAAUUCCAGCUCCAAUAGCGUAUAUUAAAGUUGUUGCGGUUAAAAAGCUCGUAGUUGGUUCUGCGUGCUACGCUGUCGGUUCGCCGCCUGCCGGUGUAACUGGCAUGCCGUGGCAUGUCCUGUCGGUGGCGUUCGGGAGCUUCGUCUAGGUGUCACCUCCGAACCGCAAGGAACGGGUGGUUGUACAACCGGGAGCCUCCCCGUUCGCCUACUCUAUCCUACCUAGGUGCUCUUCACCGAGUGUCGAGGUAGGCCGACACGUUUACUUUGAACAAAUUAGAGUGCUCAAAGCAGGCUGAAAUUUCUGCCUGAAUAGUGGUGCAUGGAAUAAUAAAACAGGACCUCGGUUCUAUUUUGUUGGUUCUUAGGAACACGAGGUAAUGAUCAAUACGGACAGGCGGGGGCAUUCGUAUUGCGACGUUAGAGGUGAAAUUCUUGGAUCGUCGCAAGAC